UCCCGGUUAACCCGGGCAGUCUCAUUAGAGUUCCCAUCUUCGUAUGCUGGCAACUAAUGAUAAGGGUUGCGCUCGUUGCGGGACUUAACCCAACACCUCACGGCACGAGCUGACGACAGCCAUGCAGCACCUGUGCACUGGUCCUUACGGACGUCGACAUCUCUGCCUUCUUCCAGUGCAUGUCAAACCUGGGUAAGGUUCUUCGCGUACCAUCGAAUUAAACCACAUGCUCCACUGCUUGUGCGGGCCCCCGUCAAUUCUUUUAAGUUUCACCCUUGCGAGCGUACUCCUCAGGCGGUAUACUUAACGCGUUAGCUCCGACACAGCUGGGGUUGAGUCCAGCUACAUCAAGUAUACAUCGUUUACAGCAAGGACUAC
This 378-nucleotide unclassified non-coding RNA is filed under the name uncultured Chlamydiales bacterium. RNAcentral describes it as "contains 16S-23S intergenic spacer region". The record is from RNAcentral. Lineage: Bacteria; Pseudomonadati; Chlamydiota; Chlamydiia; Chlamydiales.